This is a long non-coding RNA of Anguilla rostrata (American eel), 1248 nucleotides long. RefSeq lists it as uncharacterized. The transcript is spliced from 2 exons. The record is from RefSeq and is a predicted model, not a curated record. NCBI's taxonomy places the organism in Eukaryota, Metazoa, Chordata, Actinopteri, Anguilliformes, Anguillidae.
AGACACUUUGCACACUUAAUCCAACAGUCAGUUCAUGGAAAUGGUGAUUGAAGCUUAUUAUACAGACAUUUUUAAAUGAAAAUAUCUGGAGAAUAUCAAAACAGAUGUCCUGUAUCUACAGUGUAGGCUACUCCUCCACAGUGUCUAGCUUAUGUUAGCAUAGCCAGGUAGCAAUGAAUAAUGUGCUAUUAUAUGGAAAAAGUUUGUUUGGAGUGAUGCAACAACUCAUUAAAACCGAAGAGCUCAGAAACUGGACGUCCCAACUUCGGCUGCAGGUCACUGAGAGUCAGGCACACCUGAAAAGAUAAGUGGACUGUGGAGUGGAUGCAAAGUGGCUGUCCUGUGUUGGGAAGGUGUUAGCCGGGGCAGGUCACAUGACCCCGAAGUGGCCCACGGUUCGAAGCAGCGUCUCUCUGUUUCUCUGUGAUCGCAGCUGAGAGAUGGCGAAGGGUUUAUGGCGGCCUGCAGUCAGCCCUGGGGUGGAUACCGCCGCCAUCUCUGUGGCAGUGUUUCUCCUCUCUGCUCCCCAGCCCUGAAAUGUGCACGGAGCUCACGCACCUGGCUUGUUUCCCAUAAGCCUUUGCUUUGUUUCAUAUCGUUUUCAGCUGCAUGUGGGUGCAGGCAAGAGAAACUUCAAAUCGAAAUGGAUUACAGUCUUAUUUCAGCGCUUUGGAUUAAAAACAGAGGUGCGCAUAUCAUCAAUAUACCUUCAAUAACAUUCGAUACAUUUCGGAAUUUUCUGCACCCAAAGCCAAAUAUUUUCGGCAUGUUGUCCUCCUCACUGAAGAGUUUGGUGUGUCGGACUUGUCAGCACGUUUCGCCGAUCUCACCAACGAAGGCAAAAUACUGGAAUGUUUGAAACUUUCGGCCUCGUCUGAAUGAAAAACAUUGAGUGUGGAUCCUUUCUGAACGGCAAACGAAUGUGUCCGCUCUGUACUUUUCCACUCAACGUUUUCUGGUGUUUAUUCGCAGGGAAAGCGUUAUACCACAGAGCUCUCUUAGCAUUCUAAUGCCCGGGGGGUGGGGGCACCUGGCAUUGUGACAUCAUAGAAGAGGAGGGGGGUUAAUAAAAACAUGGAGGAGUGACUGUGCACUGUAAGCACACUCAACGACAGUCGUUGGUUUUGGUAAUUAGCUAGGGAGGGUCCCGAAUCUCCUCUCGCAAAUAGUUAUUUUGGCAGGCCCCAAUUAAAUCAAACAUCUGAUUAAACUUACCACAUCAAGUGUAUGGGACAGAGAGACAUGGCU